AACGCACGAGACCUGCGGACCUGCGGAAGGAUCAUUACCGAGUGCGGGCCCUCGCGGCCCAACCUCCCACCCUUGUCUCUAUACACCUGUUGCUUUGGCGGGCCCACCGGGGCCACCUGGUCGCCGGGGGACGUCGUCUCCGGGCCCGCGCCCGCCGAAGCGCUCUGUGAACCCUGAUGAAGAUGGGCUGUCUGAGUACUAUGAAAAUUGUCAAAACUUUUAACAACGGAUCUCUAGAUC
Molecule: unclassified non-coding RNA, 240 nt
Filed under: soil metagenome
Description: partial contains 5.8S ribosomal RNA, internal transcribed spacer 2, and large subunit ribosomal RNA
Source: RNAcentral